CUUGCAAUUCAGCUUCUUGUGCAGACAUAGUUGAUGGUAAAGAUGAUGAUUUGACAAUUUCAUCUGUUGUGGUUACGGCAUAUCCUGUAUGGUAUCUUCCUUCUUCAUCAGCAUAUCUUGAGCCGUCCACAAACAGGGUGAGAUCGGGAUCUACCAAUGGGUCUUCAUGCACAGUUGGUAGAUGUGUCGUUUCCAUUUUCAUCUGUUCAAAACAGUCAUGAGGUGUAUCUGGGUCGUAGUCAUUCACUAUGGUUAAAUCUUGGAACUCAUUCUCCAGGAAAUGACGCGGCCAUGCUUUUAGGUGCUCAGUUGUUGGAUAUUUGACAACACCAUUUUCCUGUAGCUGUGAUUCGUCCAUAGUGGCCCAUGCUUUUGCCAUAGGCCCAAGAUCA
RNAcentral lists this long non-coding RNA (392 nucleotides) under Pelobates cultripes (western spadefoot toad). The record is from RNAcentral. Lineage: Eukaryota; Metazoa; Chordata; Amphibia; Anura; Pelobatidae.